Molecule: long non-coding RNA, 139 nt
Organism: Telopea speciosissima
Lineage: Eukaryota; Viridiplantae; Streptophyta; Magnoliopsida; Proteales; Proteaceae
Exons: 3
Source: RefSeq, a predicted model, not a curated record
GUCCAACCAAAAAUAAAGGUGCCAUAGAUGAUGAUGUUUCACAAAGAAUUAAAGUGGGAUGGAUGAAUUGGAGAGGUGUGACUGGAGUAUUGUGUGACCGACGCAUUCCUUUAAAGCUUAAAGGAAAGUUCUACAGGAC